CUUUUACAAUGAAGAGUUUGAUCCUGGCUCAGGAUGAACGCUAGCUACAGGCUUAACACAUGCAAGUCGAGGGGCAGCAUUUUAGUUUGCUUGCAAACUGAAGAUGGCGACCGGCGCACGGGUGAGUAACACGUAUCCAACCUGCCGAUAACUCCGGAAUAGCCUUUCGAAAGAAAGAUUAAUACCGGAUAGCAUACGAAUAUCGCAUGAUAUUUUUAUUAAAGAAUUUCGGUUAUCGAUGGGGAUGCGUUCCAUUAGUUUGUUGGCGGGGUAACGGCCCACCAAGACUACGAUGGAUAGGGGUUCUGAGAGGAAGGUCCCCCACAUUGGAACUGAGACACGGUCCAAACUCCUACGGGAGGCAGCAGUGAGGAAUAUUGGUCAAUGGGCGAGAGCCUGAACCAGCCAAGUAGCGUGAAGGAUGAAGGCUCUAUGGGUCGUAAACUUCUUUUAUAUGGGAAUAAAGUUUUCCACGUGUGGAAUUUUGUAUGUACCAUAUGAAUAAGGAUCGGCUAACUCCGUGCCAGCAGCCGCGGUAAUACGGAGGAUCCGAGCGUUAUCCGGAUUUAUUGGGUUUAAAGGGAGCGUAGGUGGAUUGUUAAGUCAGUUGUGAAAGUUUGCGGCUCAACCGUAAAAUUGCAGUUGAAACUGGCAGUCUUGAGUACAGUAGAGGUGGGCGGAAUUCGUGGUGUAGCGGUGAAAUGCUUAGAUAUCACGAAGAACUCCGAUUGCGAAGGCAGCUCACUAGACUGUCACUGACACUGAUGCUCGAAAGUGUGGGUAUCAAACAGGAUUAGAUACCCUGGUAGUCCACACAGUAAACGAUGAAUACUCGCUGUUUGCGAUAUACAGUAAGCGGCCAAGCGAAAGCAUUAAGUAUUCCACCUGGGGAGUACGCCGGCAACGGUGAAACUCAAAGGAAUUGACGGGGGCCCGCACAAGCGGAGGAACAUGUGGUUUAAUUCGAUGAUACGCGAGGAACCUUACCCGGGCUUAAAUUGCAACAGAAUAUAUUGGAAACAGUAUAGCCGUAAGGCUGUUGUGAAGGUGCUGCAUGGUUGUCGUCAGCUCGUGCCGUGAGGUGUCGGCUUAAGUGCCAUAACGAGCGCAACCCUUAUCUUUAGUUACUAACAGGUUAUGCUGAGGACUCUAGAGAGACUGCCGUCGUAAGAUGUGAGGAAGGUGGGGAUGACGUCAAAUCAGCACGGCCCUUACGUCCGGGGCUACACACGUGUUACAAUGGGGGGUACAGAAGGCGGCUACCUGGUGACAGGAUGCUAAUCCCAAAAACCUCUCUCAGUUCGGAUCGAAGUCUGCAACCCGACUUCGUGAAGCUGGAUUCGCUAGUAAUCGCGCAUCAGCCAUGGCGCGGUGAAUACGUUCCCGGGCCUUGUACACACCGCCCGUCAAGCCAUGAAAGCCGGGGGUACCUGAAGUACGUAACCGCAAGGAGCGUCCUAGGGUAAAACUGGUAAUUGGGGCUAAGUCGUAACAAGGUAGCCGUACCGGAAGGUGCGGCUGGAACACCUCCUUUCU
Molecule: ribosomal RNA, 1536 nt
Filed under: Bacteroides ovatus
Lineage: Bacteria; Pseudomonadati; Bacteroidota; Bacteroidia; Bacteroidales; Bacteroidaceae
Also listed under: 1 other name
Description: bacterial SSU rRNA
Rfam family: Bacterial small subunit ribosomal RNA
Source: RNAcentral